AAGACUAUAGACCUGCGGAGUACCUGCGGAAGGAUCAUUAAAGAGAAAACUGCCCUUUGGGUAGAUCUCCCACCCUUUGUUUACCUUACCUUUGUUGCUUUGGCAGGCCCGUCUUCUGACCACCGGCUUUAGCUGGUCCGUGCCUGCCAGAGGACCCCAAACUCUUAAUUUUAAGUUGUCCGAGUCUUAUAAAAUAGUAAAAACUUUCAACAACGGAUCUCUAGAUCGGAAGAGCACACG
RNAcentral lists this unclassified non-coding RNA (240 nucleotides) under soil metagenome. Its description in RNAcentral is "partial contains 5.8S ribosomal RNA, internal transcribed spacer 2, and large subunit ribosomal RNA". The record is from RNAcentral.